UAAAUGGCUACUGAUAGAAUAUUUAUUCCGUGACAUAGCUAUGUUUAUUCUAAUGUUACCAAUGUUAUAUAUCUGACGUAACCAGAUCAAUGUUACAACAAUGGGAUCGAAAGUGUCUAUGUGAAACUCGAGAUGAAUGUACGUCAUUCUCUCCAUUUUCAAGCAAGGAGGCAGCAAUGAUCACAUUUGUUGAUACACGGUAAUAACUGUUAUUUGACGUGUUUAAACACGAGUCAUAUAGUAUAGCAAUCAUGUAUCUGGCUGUAUCGCGUACCCUGUGUAUGGUGUCGUCCCGACAGACUGCGGGGACAAGGUGAGUUGUAACAUGCAUCGUGUGCAUAGCUAGCAACGUUGUUGCAGCAGUUGAACAUGCUUUAUUCUACAUGUAGCUACAUAUUGUAUUUAAUUCUCUCAUGGUUGUUGUCCAGUUGUAUGCUAAAACCUGAGCCAGUUAGCUAGCUAAGGUAUCUAUUCACUGCAGUGCUGUUACAAUGGCUAGAUUUAGCUAACUUAGCACUCCCCUUCCUCUGACUUGCUAUGUUCUGAACAGCUCUUUGAUUGGAGUGAAUGGUCAAGUCAGACAAGGUCCUUGUUGUCUACAAAGAGUUUGUUCUCUGGUGCACUUUAGUUUCAGUCGUCUACUCUGUUUGCUUUUGGCACCAUUUGUUAUAAUUGCACUACAGGCUAAACUCUCACUCAUUCUGCCUAUGUGUGCCAUUACAGAGCAGAGCCAAAGAAGAAGAAAGUGGACCCUCGUAAAGAGCACUAUUAGUGCAAUCCAAAUGCAUUGCUCUGUCCGAAUGUACACCUGAACAGGUCCUUACUCUAUUUGUUCAUUUCCUCUAGGGUGUGCUGUGUUCCUCAGCUUCCCUUUGAGGAGAGUGAAUAACGGGCUCUACUGCUGAAGGAGUGGUCCUGCUACAAACAGACCCAGCACUGGGUUGAGAUGGAGGCAGUAAGUCUGGCUGUGGAGGCCAAGUGAGAUGCUCUGGAGGAGCUGAGGCUGGAGUGAGAGGAGCUCUACAAGGCAUCACUGAGGCCAAACCCCCUGCUCUUCCCUUUCAACCACCAGGGAUUCAGAUUCACGAGGCACCUGAGAGCAAAUGCAACAUCACCAAAGUUUACACCCAGUGAGUGUAACACAUUGUGGGCGUAAUACAUGUUGACAUGGAUGUUCAUCCAUGUUUUCACAUGAUUUGAACGGACAGACAAAAUAUUUGACGAGGAUGUUCAUGAAAGAAGAUGAGACAUUAAAGCUUGCUCAGAACAACA
Molecule: long non-coding RNA, 1272 nt
Organism: Oncorhynchus tshawytscha (Chinook salmon)
Lineage: Eukaryota; Metazoa; Chordata; Actinopteri; Salmoniformes; Salmonidae
Exons: 2
Source: RefSeq, a predicted model, not a curated record